GGAAGUAAAAGUCGUAACUAGGUUUCCGUAGGUGAACCUGCGGAAGGAUCAUUACAGAGUUCAUGCCCUCACGGGUAGAUCUCCCACCCUUGAAUAUUUACACCUUAGUUGCUUUGGCAGGCCGUGGAAACACCAUGGGCUCCGGCUUAUGCGUGCCUGCCAGAGGAAACAAACUCUGUUUUUAGUGAUGUCUGAGUACUAUAUAAUAGUUAAAACUUUCAACAACGGAUCUCUUGGUUCUG
Molecule: unclassified non-coding RNA, 242 nt
Filed under: plant metagenome
Description: partial contains small subunit ribosomal RNA, internal transcribed spacer 1, and 5.8S ribosomal RNA
Rfam family: Eukaryotic small subunit ribosomal RNA (bases 1-54)
Source: RNAcentral